CACAGAUGACUGGGCUCCUGGGCCUUUCUCCAGUAAGCCACAGAGGAGUCAGCUGCAAAUAUUCUCUUCUGUUCUACAGACCUCUCUCCUCUUCCUGCUCAUGGAGUGAAAGAAAGAAGGCUAGCUCAAGGAGUCUAGCUGCUCCUCUAAGUCCCUCUUCUAUCUCUGCAGGACUAAGAGCCUCUGGAAGGGACUCAGCCCCAACAGUGGUGUCAGGGAUCCUAGGGGGUUCCGUGACUCUCCCCCUAAACAUCUCAGUAGACACAGAGAUUGAGAACGUCAUCUGGAUUGGUCCCAAAAAUGCUCUUGCUUUCGCACGUCCCAAAGAAAAUGUAACCAUUAUGGUCAAAAGCUACCUGGGCCGACUAGACAUCACCAAGUGGAGUUACUCCCUGUGCAUCAGCAAUCUGACUCUGAAUGAUGCAGGAUCCUACAAAGCCCAGAUAAACCAAAGGAAUUUUGAAGUCACCACUGAGGAGGAAUUCACCCUGUUCGUCUAUGCGCUUUCCUGCUGGCAAAAGGAUCUGAGCAUCUUCCCAUGCUGUUGUCCCUGCAGAGCAGCUGCAGGAGCCCCAAGUCACCAUGAAGUCUGUGAAGGUGUCUGAGAACUUCUCCUGUAACAUCACUCUAAUGUGCUCCGUGAAGGGGGCAGAGAAAAGUGUUCUGUACAGCUGGACCCCAAGGGACCCCCAUGCUUCUGAGUCCAAUGGAGGCUCCAUUCUUACCAUCUCCCGAACACCAUGUGACCCAGACCUGCCAUACACCUGCACAGCCCAGAACCCCGUCAGCCAGAGAAGCUCCCUCCCUGUCCAUGUUGGGCAGUUCUGUACAGAUCCAGGAGCCUCCAGAGGAGGAACAACGGGGGAGACUGUGGUAGGGGUCCUGGGAGAGCCAGUCACCCUGCCACUGGCACUCCCAGCCUGCCGGGACACAGAGAAGGUUGUCUGGUUGUUUAACACAUCCAUCAUUAGCAAAGAGAGGGAAGAAGCAGCAACGGCAGAUCCACUCAUUAAAUCCAGGGAUCCUUACAAGAACAGGGUGUGGGUCUCCAGCCAG
Molecule: small RNA, 1056 nt
Filed under: Pan troglodytes (chimpanzee)
Lineage: Eukaryota; Metazoa; Chordata; Mammalia; Primates; Hominidae
Description: processed transcript
Source: RNAcentral